This 434-nucleotide ribosomal RNA is filed under the name uncultured Lachnospiraceae bacterium. Its description in RNAcentral is "bacterial SSU rRNA". It matches the Rfam family "Bacterial small subunit ribosomal RNA", at positions 341 to 792 of the family's 1533-position model. Lineage: Bacteria; Bacillati; Bacillota; Clostridia; Lachnospirales; Lachnospiraceae. The record is from RNAcentral.
ACGGAAGGCAGCAGUGGGGAAUAUUGCACAAUGGGGGAAACCCUGAUGCAGCGACGCCGCGUGAGUGAAGAAGUAUUUCGGUAUGUAAAGCUCUAUCAGCAGGGAAGAUAAUGACGGUACCUGACUAAGAAGCCCCGGCUAACUACGUGCCAGCAGCCGCGGUAAUACGUAGGGGGCAAGCGUUAUCCGGAUUUACUGGGUGUAAAGGGAGCGUAGACGGCAUAGCAAGUCUGAAGUGAAAAUCCAGAGCUCAACUCUGGAACUGCUUUGGAAACUGCCAGGCUAGAGUGCAGGAGGGGCAAGCGGAAUUCCUAGUGUAGCGGUGAAAUGCGUAGAUAUUAGGAGGAACACCAGUGGCGAAGGCGGCCUGCUGGACUGUUACUGACGCUGAGGCACGAAAGCGUGGGGAGCAAACAGGAUUAGAUACCCUGGUA